RNAcentral lists this ribosomal RNA (788 nucleotides) under uncultured Alphaproteobacteria bacterium. RNAcentral describes it as "bacterial SSU rRNA". It matches the Rfam family "Bacterial small subunit ribosomal RNA", at positions 38 to 874 of the family's 1533-position model. Lineage: Bacteria; Pseudomonadati; Pseudomonadota; Alphaproteobacteria. The record is from RNAcentral.
GGCGGCAUGCCUAAGACAUGCAAGUCGAACGAAGUCUUCGGACUUAGUGGCGCACGGGUGAGUAACAUGUGGGAAUCUACCUAAAGGUUCGGAAUAACUGCGGGAAACUGUAGCUAAUACCGGAUGUGUCCGUAAGGAGAAAGAUUUAUCGCCUUUAGAUGAGCCCGCACUAGAUUAGCUUGUUGGUGAGGUAAAAGCUCCACCAAGGCUACGAUCUAUAGCUGAUUUGAGAGGAUGAUCAGCCACACUGGGACUGAGACACGGCCCAGACUCCUACGGGAGGCAGCAGUCGGGAAUAUUGGACAAUGGGGGAAACCCUGAUCCAGCAAUGCCGCGUGAGUGAAGAAGGCCCUCGGGUUGUAAAACUCUUUCAUCAAUGAAGAUAAUGACAUUAAUUGAAGAAGAAGCUCCGGCUAACUCCGUGCCAGCAGCCGCGGUAAUACGGAGGGGGCUAGCGUUGUUCGGAAUUACUGGGCGUAAAGCGUAUGUAGGCGGAUCAAAAAGUUAGAUGUGAAAUCCCUGGGCUUAACCUAGGAACUGCAUUUAAAACUAGUGAUCUAGAAUUUGGUAGGGGUUAGUAGAAUUUCCAGUGUAGAGGUGAAAUUCGUAGAUAUUGGAAAGAAUACCAGUGGCGAAGGCGACUAACUGGGCCAUUUUUGACGCUGAGAUACGAAAGCGUGGGUAGCAAACAGGAUUAGAUACCCUGGUAGUCCACGCAGUAAACGAUGAGUGCUAGUCGCUGGGUCAAUAGAUUCAGUGUCGAAGCUAACGCAUUAAGCACUCCGCCU